Molecule: long non-coding RNA, 1104 nt
Filed under: Anas platyrhynchos platyrhynchos (common mallard)
Lineage: Eukaryota; Metazoa; Chordata; Aves; Anseriformes; Anatidae
Description: lncRNA (ENSAPLG00000017499.1)
Source: RNAcentral
AAACACUGAAACUACUUCUAUUAUGAUGAUUCAGUUUCUUAUGGAUAAGAGGACUCCUUUUACGCUUCCGUUUUGCUUGCUUUCUAAGGUUUCUCAUAUAUAACAUUCCCUUCCCGUGCUGUACCAGCUCCACCCUGGCCCCAGUGAGAACAGCUAGAUGUGACAGGCCUGGUGCGGUCAGCGUUGCCUCUUCUGCCUUCCUGCCAAUCAGUAUGGGAACGGACCUGCAGCAGCAUUGAUGAUGUGGAUGAACAUCUGAGUUUAAGCUGUUUUAGGGGGUGAGUAGUCACAGUGCAAAGCCACACACAGUCACUGUGUGCAUUGCAAGGGCUUCUGAGGACUUGUCUCUUGAUAUUUAUGAGUGUGGUAAGCUUGAAUGCUCUGUGAUCCUUUCCUAGUCUUAGACAGGACUUAUCUUCCCUCUUAUCUCAUCACAGGACUGUGGAAGAUGGAGAACUACUGGCCAUGUUGAACGGUUUCAUGUUCACAACCACUGCAAAAUGAAGGGGUUAAGAGCCCUCCACUGAGUUUCACUCAGGAUUUCAUACCCUAAGGCAGGCCAGGGAGGCUGGACUGAACUACUCCAAGUGGAAUGAGGUUCAGAGCCUGCCCUCGUUCACACCUCCCCUUCACUUUGCAAACAGCAAAGCUGAGACAAUGACGACAGCCACUAAGAGAGGAAGGGCCAAGUACAAUGUUAAUAUUGCCAACCUGCUGCAUGAGGAAUGAACCAUGCUUGUAUAAAUUAAUUGGGGUCUUAAGCAAAAUCGAGGCAUGAACAUACUGGUCUUACUUGCAAAAGAGAGAAGGCAGAGAAAGGGAUCCCAGAGGUACUGCAAGCCUGUUUUGCUGCUGAGCGUUCUGUACCAUGAAACCACAGCCCCAUGGAGCACAAGAACAACAGGAGUUGGCACAGAAAACUACAGAACCACCACAGUAAACAAGAGUGACAAAGCACGGAGCUCCUGCUCCCACCGGGGUCAGCAACCACCAGGGUCCUCUUGGCUGGUGUCGACUGAACCAAAAGGAAGAAUCAGCAGGAUGAUAGUUUUGACAAAGUGGAGGGCAGAGCUCUGGGAGGCGGUGUUCUGGCCUUACUUGUAA